Molecule: ribosomal RNA, 496 nt
Filed under: uncultured Streptococcus sp.
Lineage: Bacteria; Bacillati; Bacillota; Bacilli; Lactobacillales; Streptococcaceae
Description: bacterial SSU rRNA
Rfam family: Bacterial small subunit ribosomal RNA
Source: RNAcentral
GACGAACGCUGGCGGCGUGCCUAAUACAUGCAAGUAGAACGCUGAAGGAGGAGCUUGCUCUUCUGGAUGAGUUGCGAACGGGUGAGUAACGCGUAGGUAACCUGCCUGGUAGCGGGGGAUAACUAUUGGAAACGAUAGCUAAUACCGCAUAACAGUAGAUGUUGCAUGACAUUUGCUUAAAAGGUGCAAUUGCAUCACUACCAGAUGGACCUGCGUUGUAUUAGCUAGUUGGUGGGGUAACGGCUCACCAAGGCGACGAUACAUAGCCGACCUGAGAGGGUGAUCGGCCACACUGGGACUGAGACACGGCCCAGACUCCUACGGGAGGCAGCAGUAGGGAAUCUUCGGCAAUGGACGGAAGUCUGACCGAGCAACGCCGCGUGAGUGAAGAAGGUUUUCGGAUCGUAAAGCUCUGUUGUAAGAGAAGAACGAGUGUGAGAGUGGAAAGUUCACACUGUGACGGUAUCUUACCAGAAGGGGACGGCUAACUACGUGC